GGGUUUUCUUGGGAACGAAAUUGGAGGGUUUGCCAUUUCCCUCCCCAGCUCCCCAUACAGGGGAGAGAACCGAGCAAACUGAGGGAUGAGUGACUUGCCAGCUAAUAAGGAUCAUAGGUAGGCGUCAUAUAAACGUUCUAUUGUAGUUGGUAUCGUUAUCAUGAUUAGACAAGAGGCCCACAAGUAGAUGACUUGCCAGCUAGUAAGGAUCUGGGGCCAAAUUUGAACUCGGCUCCUCCUAACUAGGCCCAACACUCUUCCCACUGCACCACUAGCUCCUGCCUGGCAUACAGUAGGUGUCACAUAAAUGCUCCAUUGUUGAUGUGGCCGGUAUCAUCAUUAUUAGACAAGAGGCCCAGGAGCAGAAUUGGAGAGAAUUGGAGAGUUCAUCCAGCAUCCCUCGUUACUGGCCCCAGCUAAUAGUUGUGUUCGGUCCUGCCCCAAAUGUCUCCUCCGAACAAAGGUGGGCUUGAAGGCCGCAGGACCAAGGACGGUGGGUGGAGCUCCCCCUGCCCCUUGGAAGCAGCUUGAGACCUGCCCCUCAGUUUCCACCGCAAGUGCCCCGACCCUCCUACCCCGCCUGCAUGAAGUGAGAGGCGCCCGGGCCGUUGGACAGUGAAGACAGCAGUUUGCACUAUCUUUCAGCUCCAGUCGGAGCGCCUUGUGUGUAUCAAUCCCUCGAAUGUUUAAUGUUGAAAACACCAUUGUUUCUAAGAACUCUGAGCUCCUGCCUUCAGGACUGUGCUGUGCGAUGGUGCUCUGGGGACUUGCUCAGGAACCAUCAGAGUUGGGAGCUGGUCGUGGCCUUUGUCAAAAAAGAAAUUCACAAAUGAAUCUGGAACCUGG
This 846-nucleotide long non-coding RNA is filed under the name Sarcophilus harrisii (Tasmanian devil). Its description in RNAcentral is "lncRNA (ENSSHAG00000029690.1)". The record is from RNAcentral. Lineage: Eukaryota; Metazoa; Chordata; Mammalia; Dasyuromorphia; Dasyuridae.